GACAGAGGGUGCAAACGUUGUUCGGAAUUACUGGGCGUAAAGGGCUCGUAGGUGGCCAACUAAGUCGGACGUGAAAUCCCUCGGCUUAACCGGGGAACUGCGUCUGAUACUGGAUGGCUUGAGUUCGGGAGAGGGAUGCGGAAUUCCAGGUGUAGCGGUGAAAUGCGUAGAUAUCUGGAGGAACACCGGUGGCGAAGGCGGCAUCCUGGACCGACACUGACGCUGAGGAGCGAAAGCCAGGGGAGCAAACGGG
RNAcentral lists this ribosomal RNA (253 nucleotides) under uncultured bacterium. Its description in RNAcentral is "partial 16S ribosomal RNA". It matches the Rfam family "Bacterial small subunit ribosomal RNA", at positions 524 to 776 of the family's 1533-position model. The record is from RNAcentral.